This is a long non-coding RNA of Asparagus officinalis (garden asparagus), 504 nucleotides long. RefSeq lists it as uncharacterized. The record is from RefSeq and is a predicted model, not a curated record. The transcript has 2 exons. NCBI's taxonomy places the organism in Eukaryota, Viridiplantae, Streptophyta, Magnoliopsida, Asparagales, Asparagaceae.
CCGGCGCUUGUGGGCCACGAGAGCUCGGACCCUCUGAUCGUGGAGCCAGGCGCAUGAUCCUCUUCUUCUCAUCUUCCUCCUGCUCUGUUUCAGUUCUGGCGCAUCCUCCUCUCCCGCUAAGGAUCACGCCCCAAUUUCUGAUGGCAAACAGCAUUUGCUAGAGUUUGAGCAGAGACUUUUCGGAUCCAACAAGGCUGUCGAAGCCGAAAAUUCUCCCAUCCGAUCCACAUCCAAUUUUCAACUUGAGGGGCCAGACAUCUUCGGAUUGGAGAAAAUAGUUGUUUGAGUUAUCUCGUGUGCAGAACGGAGCAAUAAAACUACGGAAGUACAUCAUGAUCUUUAAAACAUGUAAUGAUGGAUAAUGUUUUGGAAAUAUACCUAGUUUCAGUUUUGGAAAUAUAUCUAGGAUGUACUCCAUUGAUUGGUGAUGGUUUUUCUAUUGAUUGUACUUGAACGUGAACACUUUCAAUCUGUAACUCAUAGCCUGCUGAUGGUUUUUUUAUU